GUCAGCAGCCAUAGCACCUGCAGUUCAGCCUCGGUAAUCCACCUGAAGCUAAGCUGGUUUGGGCCUGGUCAGUAUUUAGAUGGGAGACGAACUAGGAGAGCUGGGAUGCUGCUGGAA
This is a ribosomal RNA of Paramormyrops kingsleyae, 117 nucleotides long. The record is from Ensembl. NCBI's taxonomy places the organism in Eukaryota, Metazoa, Chordata, Actinopteri, Osteoglossiformes, Mormyridae.